GAGAUACAUUCUUUAUCACCCAGCAUAACCUAGAGAAUUAAGACCUACUACAAAAGAAAUUGGAAGGCACACAAACAAGCAAGAAAAACACUAAACCUAAAUAAUUUUACUGCCAGGGUUAAAGUUAAACAUCCCUACAAAGAAAUCACGUGAAAACAACAAAUCUAUAUAUGUAUAUAUAAAUAGCAAUAAAAGAACCAACUGAACAAGCAAGGAAAAAAGUAACCAAAUGCCCAAGGAAAAAAUUCUACUCAAAGGUCAUUUUGUAAUACGGAAAAACCUCGCUCAAGCGCCACAAAAGAGGAUAUUCGCAACCAAUCAUACCCAAAAUUAAACCCAAACCAUGAAUCACAUUCUUCUUCACUCAGUAAACCUCCGAUAUACCAAAAGAACCUCGAGAGAGCACCCAAACCCUAGUUCAA
Molecule: long non-coding RNA, 422 nt
Filed under: Phoenix dactylifera (date palm)
Lineage: Eukaryota; Viridiplantae; Streptophyta; Magnoliopsida; Arecales; Arecaceae
Description: long non-coding RNA (PDAC_LNC022074)
Source: RNAcentral